CACCCCAACCCCAGGCAACAGAAUGAGACUCUGUCUCAAAAAAAAAAAAAGAAGCAGCAUCUAUUUCCCCUGCCCUUGAAGCUGGGCCUGACUUUACAACUGCCUGGAGGAAUUGAAUGCAGUGAAAGUGAUACUGUGUGCUUCUGAGGCUGGGUCAUAAACCAUGUGGCCUCCACCUGGCCCUCUCUCUUUCUCCCUCCCUCCCUCUCUCCCCCACUCUUCGUCCCUUCCCUUCCUCCCCUCUCUCUCUGGAUGCUUGUCCUUGGAUCCCAGCCACUGUCUUGUGAGGAAGCCCCGGCUGCAUGAAGAGGCAGCAGAUGUUCUGACCAACAGCCCCAGCUACCAUCUCAGUUGACAGCCAGACCAAUCACCAGACUUCGGAUGGUCCUUAGCCAACUCUGCCUCCCACCACACAAACCAAACCUUUCCUCCGAAUGUCCUUGAAGAUGGUUCACCUGUGGGAGAGAAAACUGUGAGUCGUUGUCUUUUGAGGAUAGUGGAACACGUUCUUCAGUUUCCUACAAAGGUCUCCUGCCUUUUCCUGUGAAAUUUUUUCUGAUGCCCAUUCUGGACAUUCCCCGUUCGUUAUCAGCACUGUGACAAGGAAGGAUCUGCCUGUUCCAUCCCUUUCCAAGCCUUCUGUGACCUCUCAACGGGAAGCUGGGGAAAAAACACGGAUUUUGCAUAUUAAAGGCAACCAGAGGCCAAGAGAGAUGUUUGUUUGUGUAUGAGGAAGAUUCCAUUAUAUGCCAGUUCCAAGGAAAAUAGUCGGCCAAUGUUGGGUGAAGUAGUGGCUGCCUUCACAAUUUAGUAGGGAAGUACUUCUCCCAUGAAAUAUGAUGGUCCCCGGAAGCCAGGAUGGGGAGAGACCCUUAAGGACACAUCUUUAGAAAGAAUAUUAUUAAUUUUCCAUCUGGAACUGAACUAGAAGACAAUUUAAUACCACCCACUGAUGGGUACAAUAACUAUUGGGACAUUGCAGGAAAGUGCCAAAGCAUUUCAUUUCUAUGAAGGAUAGCCGCUGUAUUUUAAGGAAAAGUGUAACAUCGUUUUUGCUGCUGUGUGGAAGUUAAAUCUGGAUGAAAGAGUAAGAAUAAAUGCUGAGACACCCAACCAAUGGACUUUGCUGGUUGUCUGCCCGCCGGCUCUCAGCUCACGGUUGGACUCCCUCCCUUUCAUGUUCCAUUCCAUGUGGAAGAAUUCCAGGACCUUGCAAAUUACCCUUUCUGGCCUUCUUUGCCAACAGGACAUGUUGGUGUCAUUUCCUGCGGGGGUA
Molecule: long non-coding RNA, 1276 nt
Organism: Lemur catta (Ring-tailed lemur)
Lineage: Eukaryota; Metazoa; Chordata; Mammalia; Primates; Lemuridae
Exons: 3
Source: RefSeq, a predicted model, not a curated record